AUUGAACGCUGGCGGCAGGCCUAACACAUGCAAGUCGAGCGGACAAAGGGAGAUUGCUCUUGGAUUCAGCGGCGGACGGGCGAGUAAUGCCCAGGAAUCUGCCCGGCAUUGGGGGAUAACGUCCGUUAACGGGCCCUAAUCCAGCAUACGAUCUGAUGGAGAAAGUGGGGGUUCUUUAGAGCUAAAGCUAUCUGCUGAGACUUGGUCGGAUUAGCUAGUUGGUGUGGUAAAGGCCUACCAAGGCGACGAUCCGUAACUGGUCUGAGAGGGUGAUCAGUCACACUGGAACUGAGACACGGUCCAGACUCCUACGGGAGGCAGCAGUGGGGAAUAUUGCACAAUGGGCGAAAGCCUGAUGCAGCCAUGCCGCGUGAGUGAUGAAGGUCUUCGGAUUGUAAAACACUUUAAGUUGGGAGGAAGGGCAGUGAGUUAAUACCUUGCUGUUUUGACGUUACCUACAGAGUAAGCACCGGCUAACUUCGUG
This 484-nucleotide ribosomal RNA is filed under the name uncultured bacterium. RNAcentral describes it as "partial 16S ribosomal RNA". It matches the Rfam family "Bacterial small subunit ribosomal RNA", at positions 30 to 507 of the family's 1533-position model. The record is from RNAcentral.